AAAUAGUACCAUCACGUGGCUGAUCACAUGACCUCCCUGAAGUUUCUGUCUCCAUUUUCACCAAAUCCAAAGUCCGGACAGUACAAGAAGAUCCAUGCAGCAGUCAAAAGUUGAGCACAUGAUCCCACAUGACAUGAACCCAAUGCCUGUGGGAUCAGAUCCCCAUUAAAAUUUUACUCCUUGGAGUACUAGCAUUUCAGUUUCAUACACUAAUAAAGAAUGAAUCAACUUCAGUGUUCACCCUCAUAACAUCAUUGUAAGUACCUUUAGCUCUAACACAAUGCAACAGGCCUCAGAACCGUAAGAACCAAGAUCCUCCACUACCAUGAAGAGCUGGUCCAUAGCAUUGGCUGCGUUUUCUCUUACACUGUCUCUGUUAUUGUCAACCUGGUCUACUAGUGCCAAAGUCGAGGCUCGCCCAUCCAUACAAGUGCGCUCUUUGCCGCAAAGCAAGACUUCAUCUGCUCAAGCUCUCAAAGAUUUCCACUCAUAUAGGAAGAAAUUUUCCAAGGUAGAUUCAAGUUUCCGAAGGAUACCUCCAAGCAAAUCAAAUCCCACACAAAACAAGUUCAAUCCUCCAGCGUACGGCUGAGAAAGAUAGAACGAAUUACCCCACUCUUUCCUUUUCUUAUUUCUUUCAUUUCAUUUUUAUUGCCUCUUCUAAACAAGCAUAAGGAUGUCAGUAUACACUGGUAUUUCACCUUCUAACAGACAAGUGCCAAAGACUGUUAGUACUUCAACUUACAUAGUAUUUACCAGCUUUGCUAACUAAGCUUGUUGAGUUCUGUGAUAUACUUCAAUCUGUAUGUAAUAUUGGUAUUAUAAAAUAAGGGGAUCGAUCUCCAGAUUUGUAGAAAAGACUGAUGAUAUAUUAGACAGAACAAAAUACUAUGUUUGGAGGAGAUUCAUAGCAGGAAAAUAUUUAUAACUUAUUCAA
Molecule: long non-coding RNA, 937 nt
Organism: Lotus japonicus
Lineage: Eukaryota; Viridiplantae; Streptophyta; Magnoliopsida; Fabales; Fabaceae
Exons: 2
Source: RefSeq, a predicted model, not a curated record